Oncorhynchus tshawytscha (Chinook salmon) is the source of this 1306-nucleotide long non-coding RNA. The record is from Ensembl. NCBI's taxonomy places the organism in Eukaryota, Metazoa, Chordata, Actinopteri, Salmoniformes, Salmonidae.
AGACAGCAGAGCCAGUGUCCCCUGAUCUACCCAGCAGGUGGAGCACUAGCAAGUCUCUACCCAUCCUUUUAACAGACAGCAGAGCCAGUGUCCCCUGAUCUACCCAGCAGGUGGAGCACUAGCAAGUCUCUACCCGUCCUUUUAACAGACAGCAGAGCCAGUGUCCCCUGAUCUACCCAGCAGGUGGAGCACUAGCAAGUCUCUACCCAUCCUUUUAACAGACAGCAGAGCCAGUGUCCCCUGAUCUACCCAGCAGGUGGAGCACUAGCAAGUCUCUACCCAUCUUUUUAACAGACAGCAGAGCCAGUGUCCCCUGAUCUACCCAGCAGGUGGAGCACUAGCAAGUCUCUACCCGUCCUUUUAACAUUUUAACAGACAGCUGGGGUAGUGAUAACAAUAACAUGGAGCAAUAGUCAAGAUUCACAGUGGUUUUAAUAAAGGACUGUCACUCACAUUAUGGGUGGAAUGACUUAUGCAGCCUUUGAAUUGCAGUUCUUAGUCUUUUACAUGUAAGGUAAUUUCAUAUAAAGACAAGUGACUCUUGGAUUGAGAUGGUAGGUACGGUACAUCUCUGUCAACUGUUCACUGUAUGGACCUCAGAAAGACAAGUCCAUAUACACAAUAAUAUUCAUAGUUUUUUUGUCUCAAUGUGUAUUUUUUUUAUUUCAGUAUUGAAAGCACAGAAGCUGAACAUGUCCAUGUGAGUAGUUACGUAAAUGCUUGUGUUUGCUCUCGGUUAUUUCCCUGUUUACAUGCAAUGGAAAGGUCUAGAAUAGCAGCUAGCUCUGCAAUAAAUCAGAAGCGGCAUACAUUAUCCAAGUAAGGAAAUAGUGAAAUCAACAGUCAGUCACAACUGCUGAGCUUUUAUUUAAAUGGAUUUUGUUUCAAUUUCCUGCAUUGUUUAAUGGUUAAAUUACAACUAUAUUCUUUCAAUUUUUCACACUGUAUGUUCUAUAACUUAGCUAUUACCAAUGUUUCAAAUAAACCUUUGCAUUUUUAAAAAAAAUUGGAAACUUGUGGCAGAAAUUCUACAAAUCAUUGGUCACACUAGGAAAAACUUCCCUGACCUCUGUUCCAAAUUCUCCCUCUUUUUUUUCAUUCAACUUUAUAUCAUCGACGUCCAUUGUUUCUCUCACUUCUCUGAAGCAUGGACGAUUACCAAAGGCUCCUUUACUGCUGAUCUGGCGCUGUAAUAUUAGGCAAGUGAAUACGAAAGCGUGUCGGAUCUGUACUACUAACCUGUUGUAAAAUACAAUGUCUCACCGUCGGUAUCGGUAUUGACAUCAGACCGUAUAAAAGAUUUAUA